This 187-nucleotide ribosomal RNA is filed under the name uncultured bacterium. RNAcentral describes it as "partial 16S ribosomal RNA". It matches the Rfam family "Bacterial small subunit ribosomal RNA", at positions 1306 to 1500 of the family's 1533-position model. The record is from RNAcentral.
UGCAACCCGACUCCAUGAAGCUGGAUUCGCUAGUAAUCGCGCAUCAGCCACGGCGCGGUGAAUACGUUCCCGGGCCUUGUACACACCGCCCGUCAAGCCAUGGAAGCCGGGAGUGCCUGAAGUGCGUGACCGCAAGGAGCGCCCUAAGGCAAUACCGGUGACUGGGGCUAAGUCGUAACAAGGUAAC